GCCGACGUAGCUCAGUUGGCCAGAGCAGCUGACUUGUAAUCAGCAGGUCGCGGGUUCGAAUCCCAUCGUCGGCUCCA
Molecule: transfer RNA, 77 nt
Filed under: Alkalicella caledoniensis
Lineage: Bacteria; Bacillati; Bacillota; Clostridia; Eubacteriales; Proteinivoracaceae
Description: Clostridiales bacterium LB2 tRNA-Thr
Rfam family: tRNA
About the family: Transfer RNA (tRNA) molecules are approximately 80 nucleotides in length.
Source: RNAcentral